RNAcentral lists this transfer RNA (88 nucleotides) under Vulcanimicrobiota bacterium. Its description in RNAcentral is "tRNA-Tyr". It matches the Rfam family "tRNA". From Rfam's summary of the family: Transfer RNA (tRNA) molecules are approximately 80 nucleotides in length. Their secondary structure includes four short double-helical elements and three loops (D, anti-codon, and T loops). The record is from RNAcentral. Lineage: Bacteria; Bacillati; Vulcanimicrobiota.
GGGUAGGUGGCCGAGUGGUUAAUGGCGCCAGACUGUAAAUUUGGUACGCUAACGCGUUACGCUGGUUCAAAUCCAGCCCUGCCCACCA